Molecule: transfer RNA, 91 nt
Filed under: Haemaphysalis longicornis (longhorned tick)
Lineage: Eukaryota; Metazoa; Arthropoda; Arachnida; Ixodida; Ixodidae
Rfam family: tRNA
About the family: Transfer RNA (tRNA) molecules are approximately 80 nucleotides in length.
Source: Rfam by way of RNAcentral
CCGUCGAUAGCUCAGUUGGUAGAGCGGUGGACUGUAGCGGUUCAACAAUGCGGAUAUCCAUAGGUCGCUGGUUCGAAUCCGGCUCGACGGA